UACGUAGGGUGCAAGCGUUGUCCGGAAUUAUUGGGCGUAAAGAGCGUGUAGGCGGCCAAGCAGGUCCGUUGUGAAAACUGGAGGCUUAACCUCCAGACGUCGACGGAAACCGCGUGGCUAGAGUCCGGAAGAGGAGAGUGGAAUUCCUGGUGUAGCGGUGAAAUGCGCAGAUAUCAGGAAGAACACCAAUGGCGAAGGCAGCUCUCUGGGACGGUACUGACGCUGAGACGCGAAAGCGUGGGGAGCGAACAGG
This 253-nucleotide ribosomal RNA is filed under the name uncultured bacterium. RNAcentral's name for it is "partial 16S ribosomal RNA". It matches the Rfam family "Bacterial small subunit ribosomal RNA", at positions 524 to 776 of the family's 1533-position model. The record is from RNAcentral.